This is a non-coding RNA of Acanthosepion pharaonis, 111 nucleotides long. The record is from the annotation of a GenBank genome assembly. NCBI's taxonomy places the organism in Eukaryota, Metazoa, Mollusca, Cephalopoda, Sepiida, Sepiidae.
CAGCUAUAUCUUGUUGAAACACCAAUUCUUUUUACGAUCACUGAAGUUAAGCAACAAUGAGCCUGGUCAGUACUUAGAUGGGUGACCACUAGGGAAUACCAGCUGCUGUAA